RNAcentral lists this ribosomal RNA (497 nucleotides) under uncultured bacterium. Its description in RNAcentral is "partial 16S ribosomal RNA". It matches the Rfam family "Bacterial small subunit ribosomal RNA", at positions 28 to 507 of the family's 1533-position model. The record is from RNAcentral.
GACGAACGCUGGCGGCGUGCCUAAUACAUGCAAGUUGAGCGCUGAAGGUUGGUACUUGUACCAACUGGAUGAGCAGCGCACGGGUGAGUAACGCGUGGGGAAUCUGCCUUUGAGCGGGGGACAACAUUUGGAAACGAAUGCUAAUACCGCAUAAAAACUUUAAACACAAGUUUUAAGUUUGAAAGAUGCAAUUGCAUCACUCAAAGAUGAUCCAGCGUUUUAUUAGCUAGGUGGUGAGGUAAAGGCUCACCAAGGCGAUGAUACAUAGCCGACCUGACAGGGUGAGCGGCCGCAUUGGGACUGAGACACGGCCCAAACUCCUACGGAAGGCGGCAGUAGGGAAUCGUCGGCAAUGGACGAAAGUCUGACCGAGCAACGCCGCGGGAGGGAAGAAGGGUGUCGGAUCGUAAAACUCGGUUGGUAGAGAAGAACGUUGGUGAGAGUGGAAAGCUCAUCAAGUGACGGUAACUACCCAGAAAGGGACGGCUAACUACGUG